CCCUCUAUAUAACGUAUCGAUAAGUGAUAGCAGGGUAAACAGGCAAUAAAACAAAGUGCUAGGCCUAGCGACCACUACUUUAUAGUCGACGGAGGAUAUCUGCAAUAAUUCCAGUCUACGGCUAUUCUGUCAGAAAUACAUUAUUCGUAUUAAGGUUGAAAAAUCAUUAACGCGGAGUCAUAAAGAAUAUAAUAUAUGCAUGGUUGCAUACCUGUGUUUCGUACAAAGAAGUCUCUCCUAGGUCAGCGAGGAAGUGUAGUCUGGUGGUAUAUUUGGGUCAUAACCUGCUGGAUCCGGAAUCCAAACCUUUGCCUUUGAUUCUAUUAUUAUGACAUCUUUUCUUCCCUGUAACCAACACAUGAUCCAUAUGAACUGUUUUCCUCGUCAGAAUAACCCAUAAAUAACAAGAGAUUUGAGCAGGAAAGGUACUGUGUAAUUAAAUUCUCUUGGUUUUGAACGAGUGUACAGAAAAAGAGAGAGACUGGAUACAGUAUGAAGCACGGUGAAACAAUCUUUAUUGAAUAAAAAACGAGUAUGUGGAUCAAGGACAGCACCUGUACUAAAAGUCUGAAGGAGUUCAGAAAUGUGGAGCAAGCCUGUUGAAAUUGUUUUCUCAAUAUCUGUACCAGUCUCAUCAAGUUCACCUAAUGUGCGUAUCUUACAGCUGCCUGAUACAUAGGUAUUUGAGCCAUCUCCAACCUAACGACAAGGAAAGUCAGAAAUGAACUUGAGAGAUGUAAAUUAGACAAAACUAACAAAGUACAGGAGAGGGAGAUUCUGGUUACCUCAACUUGACGGACGUUAAUCAGUUGUUCAGUAUUUCUAUCGAGUGACGAUGGAACGAAUAUAAUAAGGGUGACAACAUCGAUUGGACUUGGUGAAAUCUUUGAGACCUGGAACAGAAAACAAAUCAUAUAACAUAAUUCUAAAUAUAAGCAUGUCUUAAUGAAACACUCUUUUAAAAAAACUUACUUAAUUUAAAGGUUUGCUUAAGGAAGUAUAUAGACCACAAUAUGAUGUUUUUAGGGGUUGAAAGUGUAGCUAAUCUUCUUUCACUGCAGUAAAGAAACAGUAAUAUCUCAUUUAUUUUCUGUAAUUAUUUUUCCUUUUCGUAUUGGGACAGCGGUAAGUCUACGGACUUAUGGUGCUAAAAUACGGGGUUCGAUUCCCCGCAGUGGACACAGCAGAUAGCCCAAUGUGACUUUGCUAUAAAACAAACUCAUCAAUAUGCCCCACGGUGUGAUAGCAGUAAGUUUAUGGACUUACAAUACUAAAAUCCGGGGUUCUUUGAUUCCCCAUUGUGGAUACAGCAGAUAGUCCAAUAUGGCUUUGCUUUAAAAGCUAAUAAACAAAUCUUUUCAUAAUUAUACAGAAAAUGACAGUGGUCAUUGAACUUCAUGAAUGUUUCCAGUUCUUUCGUAACUUAAUUUCUAUACAUUCACUUUUCUUCACAGGAAAUAGUACUGUAUUCUUCUUCUUCUGUAGCUUUUUCCCGUAUCUAUAC
This is a long non-coding RNA of Limulus polyphemus (Atlantic horseshoe crab), 1504 nucleotides long. RefSeq lists it as uncharacterized. Lineage: Eukaryota; Metazoa; Arthropoda; Merostomata; Xiphosura; Limulidae. The record is from RefSeq and is a predicted model, not a curated record. The transcript has 6 exons.